ACAUCCAGAGAAUUUAGCAGAGAUGCUUUAGUGCCUUCGGGAACUCUGAGACAGGUGCUGCAUGGCUGUCGUCAGCUCGUGUUGUGAAAUGUUGGGUUAAGUCCCGNAACGAGCGCAACCCUUAUCCUUUGUUGCCAGCACGUAAUGGUGGGAACUCAAAGGAGACUGCCGGUGAUAAACCGGAGGAAGGUGGGGAUGACGUCAAGUCAUCAUGGCCCUUACGAGUAGGGCUACACACGUGCUACAAUGGCGCAUACAAGGAGAAGCGACCUCGCGAGAGCAAGCGGACCUCAUAAAGUGCGUCGUAGUCCGGAUUGGAGUCUGCAACUCGACUCCAUGAAGUCGGAAUCGCUAGUAAUCGUAAAUCAGAAUGUUACGGUGAAUACGUUCCCGGGCCUUGUACACACCGCCCGUCACACCAUGGGAGUGGGUUGCAAAAGAAGUAGAUAGCUUAACCUUCGGGAGGGCGUUUACCACUUUGUGAUUCAUGACUGGGGUGAAGUCGUAACAAGGUAAGCGUAGUGCU
This 526-nucleotide ribosomal RNA is filed under the name uncultured bacterium. Its description in RNAcentral is "bacterial SSU rRNA". It matches the Rfam family "Bacterial small subunit ribosomal RNA", at positions 984 to 1509 of the family's 1533-position model. The record is from RNAcentral.